Molecule: long non-coding RNA, 430 nt
Organism: Mauremys mutica (yellowpond turtle)
Lineage: Eukaryota; Metazoa; Chordata; Testudines; Geoemydidae
Exons: 3
Source: RefSeq, a predicted model, not a curated record
CGGGGGCCUCGGCAGAGACGCGGUUUGAUUGACCCCGGAGGGCACAACGGUGCAAUGCGCUCGGAUAGCGGAGAAGUAGUUGCGGGCGACGGUGUGGAACCGGUCUCUUGGAUAAGGCUGUUAUUGGUUCUCAGCUAGGCAGACCCGAUAUUUCGGUAACAGUUUCUGGCGACUCCAGCCGGGACUCUCCUAGCUCGGACAUUGGACUCCGGACAGCUGUAGCAAACUGGGAACAGCACCAACGGGGUGUUUGGCCCCUCUUUCACUGUUUCACCGCGGCCCCUGGGGUUCGUGUUCCGAUAAGGAGGCUACUGUGGAAAAUUUCUGGUGUCUCCACCUCCCAUGCCUUUUUGCUAGCUCCGGAUUCCCCAGUUAAUCUGUUGGGCAGAGAUCUGUUGUGUAAACUGCGUGCUCAGAUUUUCUUUUCAGA